Molecule: long non-coding RNA, 2634 nt
Organism: Aotus nancymaae (Ma's night monkey)
Lineage: Eukaryota; Metazoa; Chordata; Mammalia; Primates; Aotidae
Source: Ensembl
CGCUGGAGGAGCUGCGCGGCCGGCGGAGAACUUUUUUCCUUUUCCCUUCGCUCUCCCUCUUCGGCUCGCGCCUAGGCCCUGGCCACUCUCCCGCGGCCUCAAGCAGCCAGCACAGGCUCCAAGUGACCGCGGGGCCACAGUGCGCGAGAGGAAAGGGGUUCGGAACGUGCGGGGUGGAGAGCUGGGACGCACAUGACGGCCCCUUUCUCCGCCCUGACUUAAUGCCCCAGCGCUCGCAGCCGCUGCUCUCUUUUUAAGAGAAUGGGGCAGGUGCAGGUUUGGUUGCUGCUGUUUUAGCCGCUCCAAGGAAAUUGUUUGGUGUAAGAUUGAUUUCCUAAGCGAAUGCGUGCGCGUUUCCAGCAACACAGGGCAACAUUUCUCGCCCCCAAAACCGGUGAAAUUAAACAGAUUUCCUUUUGAAAAGGCCCUUGGGGACGCUAGGGAGUCAGAUGUGACAACUAAUUUUAAAAUAACUGUUUAACGGGUGGUUAGGGAGCUCGCUUUCUCUCCACUACCAAGUUCACCUCUUCUUCCACCCCCUCUAAAGCAAGUGACUUGACGAUAGGUGACCCGUCCCCUAUUCCUCCCCUUAAUGCCAGUCUGGAAGCGCACUGUCUUGGAGAAGGGAUGUGUCUCCUCGCCCUCGAGAACCAGCGCGGAGAUCUUCUUUUGUGCCUCCGCUUGGCUGUGAACUUUCCCGCGCGAGGCCGGUUUCCUGUCUGUGUGUGGAAUGGAAGGACCGCGCCGGGGCACCACGAGGCACCCUGAGAACUCAGAGGACACAGAGGCUCCCCUCAAACAAAUUCCCUGCUGACCCUGGACACCCCUUGAAAGAGGGGGCAAGAGGCUGCCACAAGGGUCGGCUUAUAACUCCCAGCAAAGAUUCCCAGCAAACAAGUUCCGUUUGGGCUCUGCCUACCACUAAGCCUGGUGGUGGGGGAGCCAGGGUCCCUGAACAGGGCAAAGAUAAUCAGUUGUUCCCCUUUCUGGGGUCAGAGGCAAAGAAGCCUGAAGGGCUGGCGGUGGUGCUGGCUCUGGGUUUAUUGACUCUGUGAUUCUGUCCAGCUGUCCUGCGGGGAGUUCCAGAGCGCUCCCAAAGUGCAUGGGGAAACUGCAGAAGCAGGACUGGGGCACAGUACCAGAAGCUAUUUGUCUCUUAGAACCUGACGCCCCCUCCACUUACCUUACCGGAGACCCACAUCACUCAGGUCUCAGGACACCUGGUGGGAGAGACUGGUGAGAAUCGAAGGCAGGUUUCCUCUACUUACAACUUGUUUGAAAAUGGACAUAAAGAGGAGAACAGACACUCCAUCACCCAUACAGUGCCUCCAUUGUGUCAGAAAACCUAUCCCUUCCUAGGGCACCCUUGACACUCCCCUAGGUGGGCCUACAUAUUGUUCAGGACCUGUCCCCUGUACCCAAAUAAAUAUAAAUGAGUUCGUUUCUUUAAAAGAAAUAUUACCAGGCUUAUAAGAGCCACGCUAGUGAAAGAAAAAAAAAAUUUUUUAAAAAAAGUAAAAAAGAAAAGAAAUAUUAAAUAUUAAACUUUUCCCAUUCAGAAUCCACCUAAUUUCAUUAAUGUCUCUUGCCAGGAGCCAUAACCCCCUCCCCACCUGUUUUCCCUUCUUUUUUUUUUGUGGCUUAAAAUUGCAUUUUAGGAGGGUUGAUAUAAUGUUGUUCAUGUCAGCAAGUCUCCCUGCCCCACCCACACCCCACCGCCCUAUAUGGGAUUAUAGUUGGAAACCACACACACACACAGAGAAAAUCUUUUAAGAUUUUUUUCUGCUAUUCUUCCUGACUAGAAGAGUUGACAAGACAUAGACACAUUAAGUUGCAUAAAAUACAGUAGCGUGAUCAGCCUAAAUGCAUCUCAUUUGCACUGUUUGUAGCCAGGGGUGGGGGCUUGUGCCACUCAUUGCCUCCUCCUCCUCCUCCCAGGGCAGAUCAGCCGGCUGGAAUUUCAGAGCAGGCCCCAAGGCAGCAGCCAUUUGGGAGGUGGAAGCCCCAGCCCACCCCAGGCCAGCGCGGGUGGGAGAGUGGAUAGGGAAUGUGUCUGGAGGUCUGGCCUGAGGGCUUGAACCAGCUUUGGCAGACCUGGGCUCUGGGAGGCUUGGCGGGUGGGUGCCCGCAGCUGGAAGCUGGAGGCCUGCAGCGAUACUUCUGAGCUUCUCUUGAGUUGAGUUCAAGAAAGGGGACACCAAGAAGUAGGGGAACAGUCACUGACUAUAUUUUACAUCCACGUCCACCCUUUCCCAGAGUUGUGUUCUCACCAUUCACUUUGUCGGUGGAGGAGAAACACUUCUGCCUGAUGGGUUUCUGCACCUGCUCCUAGCCCUGAACUCGGGCCCUGAGCUGCUCACUGCCGCCUGCUCUGCGCUGAGCCCCACUCCUGAGCCCGGGAGGUGCCGGAGCAGCGCCUCUCCCACAACUCCGAGAGGCCCGUGGGAGCGGCGCCGGAGCCUUCAAAACCCCGUAGGGGCGUGGGGGUGAAGUUGGGGAUCAUCCGGGUGAUUUUUUUUUACUAUUUCCCAAUCAUUCUCCCGCGUUUAUGUCAACUCUUCCAGUCUCCCGGUGUUGGGGCGCCAAUCCUUUCCCUCCAAUUCCUACCCACCAGCUGGAGGUCGGGUCCCAGGG